Molecule: ribosomal RNA, 332 nt
Filed under: Salmonella enterica subsp. enterica serovar Hvittingfoss
Lineage: Bacteria; Pseudomonadati; Pseudomonadota; Gammaproteobacteria; Enterobacterales; Enterobacteriaceae
Description: partial 23S ribosomal RNA
Rfam family: Bacterial large subunit ribosomal RNA
Source: RNAcentral
GAAAGCUAUUUAGGUAGCGCCUCGUGAACUCAUCUCCGGGGGUAGAGCACUGUUUCGGCUAGGGGGCCAUCCCGGCUUACCAACCCGAUGCAAACUGCGAAUACCGGAGAAUGUUAUCACGGGAGACACACGGCGGGUGCUAACGUCCGUCGUGAAGAGGGAAACAACCCAGACCGCCAGCUAAGGUCCCAAAGUCAUGGUUAAGUGGGAAACGAUGUGGGAAGGCCCAGACAGCCAGGAUGUUGGCUUAGAAGCAGCCAUCAUUUAAAGAAAGCGUAAUAGCUCACUGGUCGAGUCGGCCUGCGCGGAAGAUGUAACGGGGCUAAACCAUG